CACUAAGAAGCUACAAUGGGUUUAGCAUUAGCCUUUUAAGCUAAAAAUUGGUGACUCCCUACCACCCUUAGUGA
RNAcentral lists this transfer RNA (74 nucleotides) under Somniosus microcephalus (Greenland sleeper shark). Its description in RNAcentral is "tRNA-Lys". Lineage: Eukaryota; Metazoa; Chordata; Chondrichthyes; Squaliformes; Somniosidae. RNAcentral also lists the same sequence under 1 other name. The record is from RNAcentral.